UUACAGCCAUAUCACGUUGAAACAUCGGUUCUUGUAUGAUCACUAAAGUUAAGUAACAUUGAGCCUGGUCAGUACCUAGAUGGGUGAUAACUGAGGAAUACUAGGUGCUGUAA
Molecule: non-coding RNA, 113 nt
Organism: Acanthosepion pharaonis
Lineage: Eukaryota; Metazoa; Mollusca; Cephalopoda; Sepiida; Sepiidae
Source: the annotation of a GenBank genome assembly